Long non-coding RNA from Aquila chrysaetos chrysaetos, 934 nucleotides. RefSeq lists it as uncharacterized. The transcript has 2 exons. The record is from RefSeq and is a predicted model, not a curated record. NCBI's taxonomy places the organism in Eukaryota, Metazoa, Chordata, Aves, Accipitriformes, Accipitridae.
CGCGCGCCACCGCGCAUGCGCGCCUCCAGAACGCACUUCCCGCCUUCGCUCGCCGCGCAGCGCCAUCCGCAUCCCCGCAACGAUCCUCUUCUGAGCAUCAGCUGCAGGAGAGAUGACUGACAGCUCAACCCAGUAGAGACCAGCCACAGGCGGUGACAGCCUGAAGGCAGGCCACAAGAGACCCAAAGCUGCCUCGUGCCAGGGGGGCAGCUCUGUUCAGCAGGAAACGGCGCAUCCCAGCGGACCAGAUGCGAGCGGCCCACCUGCAAGCGAGCGAUACCCUGGCGAUCCUGGGGCUCUGUUGGGGUGGGGCGCACCUUUCCUCACCUCUGUGCUAUCACAACUCUGCUCUCCUAAUCCUGCACGCACGCAAGGCUUCUUGUGCGGGGCUUGUCUCUUAUCGAAGAGACGCUGCACGGUGUUACUUACCGCCCCGCCCUCCGGCGUGCAAAGUAAUUAGACGUGAAGCAGGGAAAGCAAAGCGGCGCGUCGGGAUAGUAGAUGUUCUCGGCAGAUGACCGCAGAGCCCUCGAGGUUCCAUCUUUGCUCCCUACAGGAGCGUGGCUCCGCACCCCUUGCCGCUCCCCCCAGCAAGCGUCACAAUUGCCCUUUGCUGUCUGCAACGUGCAGCACCUGCACGGCCCGAGUACUGCUGCUUACGGAGCAAGAGGCGCUCGCUAUAAAGCGGCAAUGAAGAACAAGGACGGCCCGUCAAGAUGGCAGGAGGAACGCAGAGAGCCUCCAGCAUUAGCCAGGCAGGGCUUGCGACUCACCUCGUGUCGUGGUCUAACGCCAGCCGGCAACGAAGCCCCACGCGACCGCUCACUCGCUCCCCCGCCGCCAGUGGGACGGGGAGACAAUCGGAAGGGCGAAAGUGAGAAAACUCGUGGCUGGAAACGAAAAGAGUUUAAUCAUUAAAAAGAAACAACAGCAA